Molecule: ribosomal RNA, 492 nt
Filed under: uncultured bacterium
Lineage: Bacteria
Description: partial 16S ribosomal RNA
Rfam family: Bacterial small subunit ribosomal RNA
Source: RNAcentral
AGUGAACGCUGGCGGUAGGCCUAACACAUGCAAGUCGAACGGCAGCACAGUAAGAGCUUGCUCAUCCGGGUGGCGAGUGGCAGACGAGUGCUGAAUACAUCGGCAUCUACUUUUUCUUGGGGGAUAACGUAGGGAAACUUACGCUAAUACCGCAUACGACCUACGGCUGAAAGCAGGGGCUCUUCGGACCUUGCGCGAUUGAAUGAGCCGAUGUCGGAUUAGCUAGUUGGCGGGGGAAAGGCCCACCUAGGCGACGAUCCGUAGCUGGUCUGUGAGGAUGAUCAGCCACACUGGAACUGAGACACGGUCCAGACUCCUACGGGAGGCAGCAGUGGGGAAUAUUGGACAAUGGGCGCAAGCCUGAUCCAGCCAUACCGCGUGGGUGAAGAAGGCCUUCGGGUUGUAAAGCCCUUUUGUUGGGAAAGAAAAGCAGCAGGUUAAUACCCCGCUGUUCUGACGGUACCCAAAGAAUAAGCACCGGCUAACUUCGGG